AUGCUUAGUAGCGGCGAGUGAGCGGCAAAGCUCAAAUUUGAAAUCUGGCUCUUUCAGAGUCCGAGUUGUAAUUUGAAGAAGGUAUCUUUGGGUCUGGCUCUUGUCUAUGUUUCUUGGAACAGAACGUCACAGAGGGUGAGAAUCCCGUGCGAUGAGAUGAUCCAGGCCUAUGUAAAGUUCCUUCGAAGAGUCGAGUUGUUUGGGAAUGCAGCUCUAAGUGGGUGGUAAAUUCCAUCUAAAGCUAAAUAUUGGCGAGAGACCGAUAGCGAACAAGUACAGUGAUGGAAAGAUGAAAAGAACUUUGAAAAGAGAGUGAAAAAGUACGUGAAAUUGUUGAAAGGGAAGGGCUUGAGAUCAGACUUGGUAUUUUGUAUGUUACUUCUUCGGGGGUGGCCUCUACAGUUUAUCGGGCCAGCAUCAGUUUGGGCGGUAGGAGAAUUGCGUUGGAAUGUGGCACGGCUUCGGUUGUGUGUUAUAGCCUUCGUCGAUACUGCCAGCCUAGACUGAGGACUGCGGUUUAUACCUAGGAUGUUGGCAUAAUGAUCUUAAGUCGCCCGUCUGAA
RNAcentral lists this ribosomal RNA (563 nucleotides) under Candida tropicalis. Its description in RNAcentral is "eukaryotic LSU rRNA". It matches the Rfam family "Eukaryotic large subunit ribosomal RNA", at positions 73 to 657 of the family's 3401-position model. Lineage: Eukaryota; Fungi; Ascomycota; Pichiomycetes; Serinales; Debaryomycetaceae. The record is from RNAcentral.